UGGCGGGUUGCGACCGCCCAAGCAGGGCCCCAGGGAGAUGGUACCUGCGGAUGCUGCAAUGUUACCGGUGCAGGCAGUGGUUCCACGAGGCCUGCACCCAGUGCCUCAAUGAGCCCAUGAUGUUUGGAGACCGGUUUUACCUGUUCUUCUGCUCCGUGUGUAACCAGGGCCCAGAGUACAUCGAGAGGCUGCCCCUGCGAUGGGUGGAUGUGGUUCACCUGGCCCUCUAUAAUCUGGGGGUACAGAGCAAGAAGAAGUACUUUGACUUUGAGGAGAUUCUGGCCUUUGUCAACCACCACUGGGAGCUCCUGCAGCUUGGCAAGCUCACCAGCACCCCAGUGACAGAUCGAGGACCACAUCUCCUCAACGCUCUGAACAGUUAUAAAAGCCGGUUCCUCUGCGGCAAGGAGAUCAAGAAGAAGAAGUGCAUCUUCCGCCUGCGCAUCCGCGUCCCACCCAACCCGCCAGGGAAGCUGCUGCCUGACAAGGGACUGCUGCCAAAUGAGAACAGCGCCUCCUCUGAGCUGCGUAAGAGAGGAAAGAGCAAGCCUGGAGUGACUUCACCUCAGCCUGGAGCACCAACCACCACCUGGCUAGCAUAUUUGACUUCACGCUGGAUGAAAUUCAAAGUUUAAAAAGUGCCAGCUCAGGCCAGACCUUCUUCUCAGAUGUUGACUCCACCGACGCUGCCAGCACCUCUGGCUCUGCCUCCACCAGCCUCUCCUAUGACUCCAGAUGGACAGUGGGCAGCCGAAAGAGGAAGCUGGCAGCCAAGGCAUACAUGCCCCUGCGGGCAAAGCGGUGGGCAGCUGAGCUGGAUGGACGCUGCCCCUCGGACAGCAGUGCAGAGGGGGCUUCAGUCCCCGAGCGGCCAGACGAAGGCAUUGACAGCCACACAUUUGAGAGCAUCAGUGAAGAUGACUCAUCCCUGUCCCACCUCAAGUCAUCUAUCACCAACUACUUUGGUGCAGCUGGGCGGUUGGCCUGUGGGGAGAAGUACCAGGUGUUGGCUCGGAGGGUCACACCUGAGGGCAAGGUUCAGUACCUGGUGGAGUGGGAAGGGACCACCCCUUACUGACUAGCCCCCGGGGG
This 1092-nucleotide small RNA is filed under the name Pan troglodytes (chimpanzee). RNAcentral describes it as "processed transcript". The record is from RNAcentral. Lineage: Eukaryota; Metazoa; Chordata; Mammalia; Primates; Hominidae.